RNAcentral lists this ribosomal RNA (251 nucleotides) under uncultured bacterium. Its description in RNAcentral is "partial 16S ribosomal RNA". It matches the Rfam family "Bacterial small subunit ribosomal RNA", at positions 524 to 776 of the family's 1533-position model. The record is from RNAcentral.
UACGGAGGGGCUAGCGUUGUUCGGAAUUACUGGGCGUAAAGCGCGCGUAGGCGGAUUGGAAAGUUGGGGUGAAAUCCCGGGGCUCAACCUCGGAACUGCCUCCAAAACUAUCAGUCUAGAGUUCGAGAGAGGUGAGUGGAAUUCCGAGUGUAGAGGUGAAAUUCGUAGAUAUUCGGAGGAACACCAGUGGCGAAGGCGGCUCACUGGCUCGAUACUGACGCUGAGGUGCGAAAGCGUGGGGAGCAAACAGG